Molecule: ribosomal RNA, 424 nt
Filed under: uncultured bacterium
Lineage: Bacteria
Description: bacterial SSU rRNA
Rfam family: Bacterial small subunit ribosomal RNA
Source: RNAcentral
GGAAUUGUUCGCAAUGGGCGAAAGCCUGACGACGCAACGCCGCGUGGAGGAUGAAGAAUUUCGGUUCGUAAACUCCUGUCGAGCGGGACGCAAGAUGAGCGGGUUAAUACCCCGCGCAAGUGACCGUACCGCUAAAGGAAGCCCCGGCUCACCCCGUGCCAGCAGCCGCGGUAAUACGGGGGGGGCAAGCGUUGUUCGGAAUUACUGGGCGUAAAGGGCUCGUAGGCGGCCAAUUAAGUCACACGUGAAAUCCCUCGGCUCAACCGGGGAACUGCGUGUGAGACUGGAUGGCUUGAGUUUGGGAGAGGAAUGCGGAAUUCCAGGUGUAGCGGUGAAAUGCGUAGAUAUCUGGAGGAACACCGGUGGCGAAGGCGGCAUUCUGGACCAACACUGACGCUGAGGAGCGAAAGCCAGGGGAGCAAAC